Molecule: RNA transcript, 1654 nt
Organism: Spinacia oleracea (spinach)
Lineage: Eukaryota; Viridiplantae; Streptophyta; Magnoliopsida; Caryophyllales; Amaranthaceae
Exons: 7
Source: RefSeq, a predicted model, not a curated record
CGCAACUCAAUUAAUUCAUACCAAACAUUUCUAUCUCAAACCUCAAGACCAAUGGAUGAUUCUCACCUACGCAGUUGCAGCAGAGGCCGCCAUUUUUCUUGUGAUCUCACUUCCUUUACCAAAGGUUCUCAGAACUCGUCUGGUUUCAUUAAUAUCUCUUAUCCUUCAGCCGUUAAUGUUCAUCGUCCCUUUCGCCGCUUUUCAGCUUCUCGAUAUUUACUGGAAGUAUGAGCACCAAUUGACGUGUACUUCUGAGAUCUGUACUGUCACCGAGAGAGAUCGCUAUGAGAAAUCGGUAAUUGUUGUUUUGUUGUUGAUUAUUUAGGGUUUACGUGCCUUAAUUUUGUACAAUUUAAUUUCUAAUUUUGUUGGAUUUAUUAUCAUGAUUAUUUACUAUCGGGAGAUUAAUUGCUCCUACCAUCCAUCAUCCAAUGUUUAGGAAUUAGGAUUAAUGGGGUGGUUUAAUUUCCAUAGUUUACAUUUUGAUAUUGUUGUUAAUCAGUUAAUGUGAAGGGCUUGGGGUUGAUUCCCCGGUAGUUGUAAAUUUGUAAUGAUGGAUUGGAGGUUUUGUCGGGGCGGUGAUGAUACUGCAUUGUUGAAAGACUCAAAAUAGAGUGGAAAGGCUGAGCCUAGGGGUAUUAUUAGGGUCUUAACGAUAUGUUUAGCACUCCAUUUGUUAGGUGCAUUGUUAGAUUCAAUUUAUGUCGCAUUCCAUUUGUUAGUUGCACUCCACAGAAAACUGAAGACGCUCUGGAAUUGGAUUCUCCACUCUGAUCAGGAAAAAAUGGACCAUCAUACUGCUGUUUGUUAUGCAAUUCUCACUCUGGCAAUGGCUACUUCUUCUGCAAUUCAGAUUGGCGCUCGAGAUGAAUUCAGGAAGACCCAAAUAAUCGCAACGAAUUCUCCGUUCUCUAUUGCACCUGAAACCCUCCAGAAGCAGAUUGAAUGAUCUGAACGAGAUAUAGCGUGUGUAUCUAAGUAUGUGUGGGGAGCAGGGGUGAGUCCAGAUGACUCUGUUCUGGCAGAGGAGAAUUGAUUUUGUCAUGUAAAAGUAUCACUUAAUGACACAAAUCACAAUGUUCAUAAGCAUUACUCUGAGAAUCACCUGAUGGAUAUUUAUACUCUUUAUAUGUUUCAAGAAACUCAGUUUUGAAGAGGAAAAUGAAUUUCAGGGAAAAUGAGCAACUCAAUUUUGGUAAGCUGCUUUCAUGUAGAUAAUCAAGCUGUCUCUUCUAGUGCCCCCGACUAGGAACAAAACUAACUCCACCACUCCGGCCGUAGUCUGUGGUGCUUUUUGUGCUAUAUUCGGUGCUAUUGCCCUUGAUUCCGGGAAGUCCGAUGCUGCUGCAAAAGUGUUCUUGAAUGUUCAUGCUCGCACUGGUGAAUUAGCUGCUGAUUUUUAGUCAAUAUUAACUGGAGCAGAUUGAUCGUGAAAGAUCGCAAUUCAAGAUGAAGGAGCUCAAGUGUUAUCGUAUAGUCUUUUAUGACAGUUUAAUACUUUUCAGUUGUAAAUAGACCACCUAGUAACCGAGUUGUAAUAGUUUAAGUUUUGUAAGCCUUAGCACUUGACAAUGUGGUCAAGUGUGGCGGUGAUACCUCCGAUUUAGGUGUAAGUUUCCGCAAUUUCUAUAAAGUCUUUUAUAUUUCUUAUUUA